GGAAAUAAAUGGAAACAUCAUUACCUUUACACUGAGGAGGGUCACUACUCCACUUGUUAUUCCCAACACAAAUAAGUUUGCUGUCUCCAACAAGUGAAAAUUCGUCUGAUCCUUGUGAAGGAUUACAACUGUUUACCCUUGAGCUUCAUUGUUUCGAAUUUUGGUGGUUCACCACAGGCAUCUAGUGAUAAGACAAUGAGAAUAUGAAAAUGAAGUAUUUAUCUCUUUCACCAGCCAAGGCUCUGGUCUGGCAGCAGACCCUACUAAAAAAACUCAGAAGAUUUUUCUGCAGCAGCCUGGUUUCAAGGUCAAUGGAUGAACAAGCAAGGCCAUACAUUCCUUACCCGAGAUAAGGAGUCCA
Long non-coding RNA from Prionailurus viverrinus (fishing cat), 361 nucleotides. RefSeq lists it as uncharacterized. The transcript has 3 exons. NCBI's taxonomy places the organism in Eukaryota, Metazoa, Chordata, Mammalia, Carnivora, Felidae. The record is from RefSeq and is a predicted model, not a curated record.